GGAUGAUUUGAAGAUAGUGAGUUAUCUCGAUUGUUCACAGCCAGUUACAGGUAGAAUUCCUUGUUCUAUGUUUUCCUCCCUCUCACUAGUACGCUCGAGUAGUCUUUA
Unclassified non-coding RNA from Cercocebus atys (sooty mangabey), 108 nucleotides. It matches the Rfam family "Y RNA". From Rfam's summary of the family: Y RNAs are components of the Ro ribonucleoprotein particle (Ro RNP), in association with Ro60 and La proteins. The Y RNAs and Ro60 and La proteins are well conserved, but the function of the Ro RNP is not known. The record is from Ensembl. NCBI's taxonomy places the organism in Eukaryota, Metazoa, Chordata, Mammalia, Primates, Cercopithecidae.